CAAAGGGUAGGGUUUGGGCUGAUGGACAGGGCAAAGGGGCCGGGUUGUUUUGACAGACAGGGAAAAAUCUGGAAAGGAGGGAGGGGAUUCCUCUAGGGCCAGUUGGGUAGGAGGGCAUAAGACAGGGGAGAAACUAACUGUAAUAACUCGGGGAACACCUGAACAUACCACAAGUGUUGCAGCACUGCAGGGUGGUAGAAAUGCUGCAAUCUUCUUGGAGGCGUCUCCUUCAGAAGCCACUCAGCAGAAGGCCACGAGAACAGCCAUUUCCAGUCCAUGCACACGCACACGCCACAGACAGCUCAGUGCAGGAAAGACAGGAAGGGUCUUUGCAUGGCAUAGUCCAGCAAGGGUUUUAUUGCAUCCAGCACGCCAGAGGGACCAGAGACGAAAGACCAAACCAUGUGCUCUGCAGGACUUCAGUGUGGGCUCUGGAUGUUUACGUGGAUGGAUGUUGGGUGUGAAGAAAUUUGAAGCAGUACAUCCUUUCAAAGUUGUGGCAGCUGUGUCCAUGGUGAGCAGUGAAAAGUGUAUUGCUGCUGGUUUCAGAGUGUUACAUGCUUGGUGUUAUUAGCAUUUGGUAGCAGCUCACUCAGGGCUUAGGAGGUAGCACUGGUUUGCUUACUGGGUGAGCACUUUCAAUUCUCUUAGCAUUUGUUUUAAGUUUUUGCAGCAUUAACCCCAGGGACCAAUAUUGAGGCUUCUAUUUUCUUUUUUCUGCCUCAAAAAUCAAUAUUUUUUCUGCAGCCAGAUUUAAACUGAUGGAAAAAUCUGUUGUGCUUAAUUUUUUCGGUCACAAAUUAUGGUAAUGCUAGGUGCUAGCAGAGCAGGCUUCCCCAAGUCACAGGGUGUUUUGACCAUGGCACCAUUUAUUUGCUGGUGGGGAGUAAGGUUUCCAAGAGGUUUCAUGGGCGAGCAGGGCUCCCUCGGAGGUAAUUUCUCAGAGAACAACCUGUAAAUAGAAUACAUUGGCAAGAAAAAAUUAAAUUGUGAUAAGCUGCAAGAUUUAGUAAAGAUUGAGUAUUUGCAAAUUUUAAUUCACAGAUUUCUAACGUCCGGAGUACACAGAGAGACAAAACUAUAUUUAGUUACACAUCAUUUUAGUAAGGCUGUUAGAGCGUUUUACCUCUCUGUUUUCCAAUGGUUUUAAAGACUUGAUAUUCUUAAGACAAAUUUACUGGGGUCUUCCAACUACCCUUAUAAAAAGGAGACACAGUUGUGCUGUUAGAAUAUAACAGAAUUUUGAAAACUGAAAGCAUUCUUAAAAGCUCACAAAAAAUAGCUAUAAAAGAAGCUAUGCCUUCUUAAAAAAAAAUUAUUUUUAUUUUAUCAGAUGACUUGAAUGUGUUUGAGCAAUU
Molecule: long non-coding RNA, 1358 nt
Organism: Passer domesticus (house sparrow)
Lineage: Eukaryota; Metazoa; Chordata; Aves; Passeriformes; Passeridae
Exons: 3
Source: RefSeq, a predicted model, not a curated record